Molecule: ribosomal RNA, 445 nt
Filed under: uncultured bacterium
Lineage: Bacteria
Description: bacterial SSU rRNA
Rfam family: Bacterial small subunit ribosomal RNA
Source: RNAcentral
UCCAGACUCCUACGGGAGGCAGCAGUGGGGGAUAUUGCACAAUGGGGGGAACCCUGAUGCAGCGACGCCGCGUGGGUGAAGGAGUAUUUCGGUAUGUAAAGCCCUCUCGGCAGGGAAGAAGCAAGACGGUACCUGACUAAGAAGCCCCGGCUAACUACGUGCCAGCAGCCGCGGUAAUACGGAGGAUGCGAGCGUUAUCCGGAUUUAUUGGGUUUAAAGGGUGCGUAGGCGGUCCGUUAAGUCAGCGGUAAAAUUGCGGGGCCCACCCCCGUCGAGCCGUUGAAACUGGCAGACUUGAGUUGGCGAGAAGUACGCGGAAUGCGCGGUGUAGCGGUGAAAUGCAUAGAUAUCGCGCAGAACUCCGAUUGCGAAGGCAGCGUACCGGCGCCAGACUGACGCUGAGGCACGAAAGCGUGGGGAUCGAACAGGAUUAGAUACCCCAGUA